RNAcentral lists this ribosomal RNA (576 nucleotides) under Triticum aestivum (bread wheat). RNAcentral's name for it is "partial small subunit ribosomal RNA". The record is from RNAcentral. Lineage: Eukaryota; Viridiplantae; Streptophyta; Magnoliopsida; Poales; Poaceae.
AUGCCCCUGCCGCCUUGCUUCCCCUCCCCCUUGCCCCCGCAUCCUUGCUCCCCCACACCCCCGCCGUCGUCGCCUUGCUUUCGCCCCACCGCCCCACGCCGCUGCCUCGUUUCCCUCUGUCCGCCGCCCGCAGAGGAACACGAAGAUUCAGUUUUUCCCUCCGUCCUCCGUCCACCGUCCGCUGCCUCGUUUCCUUCCUCGCCGUCGACCACGAAGCUAGCACCCUCCUUGGUGGUUUUCGACCUGAGCAGUGGGAAGCACGUGUGCCCCUUUUCCACUUCCAAGAUGGAGCACUACACGGCUUCACCGACAUCGAUUACAUCUCGUCGGAACAUUACGCGGCUGCACCAAGGAGCUCGCCAGAGUCAAAGCAAGCAACAGCAUGACGAAGAGACUACAACAACAACAGUCGCUACAGAUCAAUCGACAGGGGAAGAACAGCAGAAGACCAGAGAUUGUACUGUACCUUCUUUUUCAGAGAAGAUCAGCAGCGAAGAACAGCAGGUCAGCACAAGCACGAGCUCCACCAACAAGCAUGCAGCAUGGGCAAGCGUACACGCACCCGAGCGUGGGUGA